GUGUCAGCCGCCGCGGUAAUACGUAGGGGGCAAGCGUUGUCCGGAAUCAUUGGGCGUAAAGCGCGUGUAGGCGGUUUGGUAAGUCUGCUGUGAAAGUCCGGGGCUCAACCCCGGAAAGCCGGUGGAUACUGUCGAACUAGAGUGCGGAAGAGGCGAGUGGAAUUCCUGGUGUAGCGGUGAAAUGCGCAGAUAUCAGGAGGAACACCAAUUGCGAAGGCAGCUCGCUGGGACGUUACUGACGCUGAGACGCGAAAGCGUGGGGAGCAAACAGGAUUAGAUACCCUCGUAGUCC
This 292-nucleotide ribosomal RNA is filed under the name uncultured bacterium. RNAcentral describes it as "partial 16S ribosomal RNA". It matches the Rfam family "Bacterial small subunit ribosomal RNA", at positions 505 to 796 of the family's 1533-position model. The record is from RNAcentral.